Molecule: ribosomal RNA, 255 nt
Filed under: uncultured bacterium
Lineage: Bacteria
Description: partial 16S ribosomal RNA
Rfam family: Bacterial small subunit ribosomal RNA
Source: RNAcentral
UACGUAGGGUGCGAGCGUUAAUCGGAAUUACUGGGCGUAAAGCGUGCGCAGGCGGUUAUUUAAGUCAGGUGUGAAAGCCCUGGGCUUAACCUAGGAAUUGCGCUUGAGACUGGAUAGCUUGGAGUGCGGCAGAGGGAGGUGGAAUUCCACGUGUAGCAGUGAAAAUGCGUAGAGAUGUGGAGGAACACCGAUGGCGAAGGCAGCCUCCUGGGCCAGCACUGACGCUCAUGCACGAAAGCGUGGGGAGCAAACAGG